UUGCUGAUCUGGUGGAAGGAGGCUCUGUUGUCUGCGGCUAAAAUGGAGAUGUCAGCCCCACUGAAGCGUGCGAUUCUUUGCUUGAGGGAGAAGAAGUGAGCCGUCAGUCUGCACGAGCCUGUGCCGGUCAGUUCCCAGCGUGUCCCAGGAGUAUCCAACCCAUGCCUCUUCCGCUCCGUGUUCAGGGACAUCAAGAGCCUCCGUCACCCAAGUAUUUACGCCCUGGGCAUUGGCCAAGGCUGUGAGCUGGGGCUCGCUGGCCUGGAGAGCGGGAAGGGGACUGUGACCAGCACACCCUCGGGUGUCAUCCAAGGAAACUGGGAUCACAAAGCAGAAGUCGGUAAU
This is a long non-coding RNA of Mustela lutreola (European mink), 345 nucleotides long. RefSeq lists it as uncharacterized. The record is from RefSeq and is a predicted model, not a curated record. The transcript is spliced from 3 exons. NCBI's taxonomy places the organism in Eukaryota, Metazoa, Chordata, Mammalia, Carnivora, Mustelidae.